CCCUCGCCGCCGCCGCGCAUCCCUCGCCACCGGCCCUCGCCCGAGCCGCCCCCCAGCUCGUGCCGCCGCCGGAACAACCCCGGCCCCUUCGCCGGUCGCCGGAGGUACUACCUCGCCCCGUCGGCGCCCCCUCCUCGCCACUACACUUCGAUUUGACGGCGCCCACCACCGGAUCCGGCCGCCGCCGCCGCCGGGCCUCUCGGCGCGUCAUCCAGCCAUCCUCGCCGCGCCCCGCUGCUGUCACGCCGCCUCGAGGUGAAGUGGUUGCCACCGUGAGGGGUUCCCGUCCCCUUGCGCAAAGAGGCGGCGGGUCGCCGUCAGCUCGUCACCUCCCUGACGAUCUACUCCAGCCCGAGGACCUCACCGUCGCAGACACGUUCCCCGGCCUCCCGCAUACCGUGCGGAAUCGUCACGUUAUUACCUCUUGCAGUUUUGAUUUCAGGCCUGAACCGUACGAAGAGCAUUCCCAAUUGCAGAUUUAAUUUCAGGCCUGAACCUAUAUGCUAUACCUAGCAAAACUGAUUCACCUCGGCUACUUUGAGUGGAAACUAGAGUUCCAAUUUGCGAGAAUUGUAUGUCAAAGAUUCAAUUAUACACAUGCCUUAUAGUUAAUUGUUUUGCAAUUAUGUUGUACACAGGCCUAAUAGUUAUUUAUAUGACAGAUCAUCUACUGUAUUGUUAUAAAUUCCAAACACUGGAUCAUCCAAAGUGGAAUUCUGUUUUUCCCUCAAAGUAUACAAGCUGAAUCAGUUUUGUUAGGUCAGAGAGUAGACAUCAUAAUUGAUUAAUCAAUUUAUCUUGCUUGAAACCAUUAAAGUUUCAGAAACUUUGAUCUAUGUUCCUCAUUCUGCAGUUCAACAUGUAUAAAAACCAAAAGGUAUGUCAUCCCAUUUAGUGUGCAGAAUAGUAGAUUAGAGUAGGCAUACAGGAGGUUAAUCAGCUAGCAAGUAAUGCCUUAUCUCAUCCAUUAUUCAAGACACACUGUCCUGCUUGAGGUUUUGAAUUUGACCAUAAUAUCCUACUUCUGGUCCUGAAUUUGACCAUUAAAGUUUCAGAAACUUUGAUCUAUAUUCCUCAUUCUGCAGUUCAACAUGUAUAAGAACCAGAAGGUAUGUCAUCCCAUUUAGUAUGCAGAAUAGUAGAUUAGAGUAGGCAUACAGGAGGUUAAUCAGCUAGCAAGUAAUGCCUUAUCUCAUCCAUUAUUCAAGACACACUGUCCUGCUUGUGGUUUUGAAUUUGACCAUAAUAUCCUACUUCUGGUCUUGAAUUUUAGUAGAUAAACUGCAGAUGGAACUUCUGUUAAACAGCUAGGUAGCAAUUAUUGGGAUGUCAUGGUGCCUAGCUUAGUGCUUAGCAAAGAAGAAAAAAAUUUCGCCAUUGUUGAUGCUUAGUAAAUAUCAAGUAAAUUUUGUUGCCCCCCUUUAUGCUUAGUUCUUAUUAAAGAAAAAUAUAUGGAAUAUAUCAGAGUCUGCAUAUCUUUAGUGCACUGCAUGAUGUGAUCUAUCUUAAUGGGUAUUAAACUAUAGUUGAUCAUCUAGAAAUGGAAUAGUCGAAUGGGUUGUGUUUGAAUGUAUAUACUGGUCUACCUAAAUUUCUACUACUACAUAAAAAGCACAAAGUCUGUUUACCCCUCCUGUGAGUCUGCCUCCCGAUGCCAACAUCGUAUGUCAGCCGUCUGAUGGUCAUCGUAUGCAUCUCGUGCCUCCCACCUUUCCCCUGACCCACCUCUAACCGCUCAUGCCACCUCCCUCCUCGCCUCUCCGGCCUCCCCAACCUCCCACGAGCAGUUUCAGCUCGCAUCUCUCCCGCCGCCGUUGCCUCCGCUCUCCCACCCCCACCGCGUGCCGCUGUCGCGCCCGCCCUAACCGGUCUCUCCCGCCGCUCUCCCCCGCGAGCGCGUAGCCUCGCCCCGCUCCGGCGACCCUCACACUGUCUUAGAAUUCACCUUACAUUUGAGUCAUGAUGAUUAUUGGCCUACUAAAUCUACUGUUAAACGUUAGUUUGAAGUUCAAUCAGAUAGAUCCAGGUACAUUAACAUACCACCAGAAUUAGGUCAUUGCUUGACAGUGUGUUGCUGUGAUGAGUGAUGACCAAUGGAAAACCUAAUCAUGCUUAUUUUUAUGUCGUAGGCUUUAUCAUUCUCCCGUGAAGGCCAAUUUGUUGGCUCACCAGCAAAGUCAUGGUUCCAUGACUGAUAAUUGAUUUAUAUAUUCUAUGCUUGUUAGUGUGCAAUUUAUCCCUAGGUUUUUGGCUCACCAGGAAACUCCUAAUCUAAUUGUAGGUUUUAUUUUGCAGAUCAGUCGAUUAGAAAGCAGCAGCCCACUGCUUUACUACAUUUGGAGGCUUAACAUUUAUGCUUUACAUGGUCCGUCACUUAUCAUUCUUUUUUAAUGAAAGAUUGUCUUAACAUGGUAAGUGUAUGGCAUUUGCAGCACUUGGCAAGGUUUAAGAAAGCACAUAGAAGCAAAUAUUGGAGGAUCUAUUAUUGUAAGUUAUUCCCUGGGUGGAUCCAGUUAAAACAAAUUAAAUUUAACCAGGCAAGAUCCUGGUUGUUUGCUGUCAUAUGUAUGAGACAAAUAUGCUAAGUUCUUUAAUUUCAUUUUCUAAUUACUGCAGAAUUUUAAACAACAUAUGUACAGUAGUAUGAGCUUACAAAAACUCUAAUCUCAUUAGGUUAGCUCAAUAGUUGCUAGUCAUAUAUGAUUGUGGUGCUGUCAACUGGAAACAUUGUUUGUUUGGUGCUUGAAUUGCUGUCCUCGUAUGAUUGUGGUGAUUUCGGUGGGUUUUUAUUGAUAAGGGGAUGUUUGCAUACCAAUUCAGUUAAUUUGUUGUCUGUGACAUGCUUAUUAACCAGCAAUGUCAUGUUGAUAGGGGAAGGCUGUAUUUUCUAUUUGUUACUUUCCAAUUUUGCUACUAUAUGCCUAUACUUUUUUUAGUUCUUUAGGUGUCCAAUUUGAUACUCUUGACCUGUACUGUUUCCAUAAGGCAGUAGCUAUCACAAGCCUAUAGCUGAACAAAAAUAAUUGAUGCAAGUGGCUCGGUGCAAUGAUAUAUCAAUGUUGAGAUAGGGUAUUGGUCGUUUGAUUUGCUUUACUAAAUGCCGCAUUAUGUUAGCACUUAGCAUAGGCAUUGUUAAACAACGUAUGAUAAUGCUAGGAUGAUAUAUUUAGUUAAAAGCAUGUUUGGUUCAGAUUCAUAGGAUGAUAUAUUUAAUUAAAUGUCACAUUUCAUUCCUAUUUUGUUUUGUUCAGAUUCAUGGCCGACCACUACGAUUGUGACACUGCCAUAGCAGCCAAGAGAUAGCUUUUUUUUGGCCUUUUAUUUAAAGUUUCUAGAGCUAGCAAUUCUUUCAAAAAUUGGAAGCCCAAAUGAUUGGGGUUUUUGGGAGUGUCUAGAUGAGUUCAUAUUUGGAAAGUUUUAGGAAGGAGAGAGGAUACAUGAUGGAGUCUGACAGACUGUCAGUGAGAAAAAGCACCAUGGAAGACCACAUAAGGUUUGAUUUCAGUUUUCUAAAGAUCAGAAAUGCCAUUUGUUUCUCUUUAGUUUGUUACACUGAUAAAAAUUGAGAUACUGAAAUGACUAGCACCAUUUUGGGACUUCUUUGGUCGGUGUUCGCGGGAAAAAGUUGAGCCAGCUCUUCAAAUUGCAUAUUAAGAUGGUACUGUCGCCAAUGUGGAGAAGAAAGACAUGGAGUCAAAUGACAUACUCCGCUUAGAACAGUUGAGGCAUGAGCUGAUCGAGUUAGAAAAGUGAGUGCAGAUGAUGCUCAAAAGGAGAAGGAGAUGGGUGUUGCAGACGGAACAACUGCGCCAUCACCUGUAGCAUCAGUGCCUUCCGGUGAGGCUAGCAAGAAGGAGAAUAUGGUAAUUCUGAACUUUCCAGCUGUGCCGGUACAUUUCAAAUUGAAACCUCACUUCUACAAUCUGAUGAGACUAAGUUAUAAAUUAUUGCCAGACAACGGUGUGUGUCUGGUUAACAGCCUAACUCAUGUCGAGCAAUUCGUUUUGUCCAAAUAUUUAAGUUCAUUUUAUUUUAUUUAUGUUUACGAUGAACAUCUUGUAUGCAUAAUUUCUUUUACAUUCUAGUUGGUCCAACAUUAAAAGACUCCAUAAAACGAUCUUCACCUAUCAGUAUCAAAAUCAAUGUGUACUUUAAAAGUUAAAAGGAGGCAGUGGGCUCAGUCCGUUGAGGAAGAGGAGGAUAGGAUGGAGGACGCCGUUGGAGAUGGCACGGAUGAGGUGUUGGUGGUGAGAUAGGAGCGUGGCACAGGAGAGCACAGGUCGAGAUGCAAAUGGAGCGUUGGGCUUUGAAAUGGUGGCAUCGCUAUGAGUUCAGCUUACAUGGGAAUGAAAUACAAUCUCAAUGUAUGAUGUUGAUAUUUGUCUCAUCACAGAAGUUAAGACUUAUGUUUCUUUGACUGGGAUCUAUAGAAAUGACAUGGUCUUAAUUGAAAAUAUCAUAUUUUUUCUA
Panicum virgatum (switchgrass) is the source of this 4470-nucleotide long non-coding RNA. RefSeq lists it as uncharacterized. The record is from RefSeq and is a predicted model, not a curated record. The transcript is spliced from 3 exons. Lineage: Eukaryota; Viridiplantae; Streptophyta; Magnoliopsida; Poales; Poaceae.